This is a long non-coding RNA of Triticum aestivum (bread wheat), 505 nucleotides long. RefSeq lists it as uncharacterized. The record is from RefSeq and is a predicted model, not a curated record. The transcript is spliced from 4 exons. NCBI's taxonomy places the organism in Eukaryota, Viridiplantae, Streptophyta, Magnoliopsida, Poales, Poaceae.
CAGCGCGGCCGCCUAUGGGCUGGUCCCACGAUGAAUCGACAACUAAGCUCGGGGACGUGAUAUGGUGCUCGGUGUAGGUGGCCAUGGUGGACCUGAAGCUGGCUUAGAUAAGCGAUGGGAUCGAGCGGCGGCGCUCCCGAUCUGAUCGGGAGCAGGACGACGACGGCGAGCACAUGGCGGACGAGAGGAGCAGGAGGGGAGGCGCGGAGGCGGGGCCAUAUGCGUCGGACGAGCGCGUUCGCCCGCAGUCAACGCGGACACAGCGGCCGUCCAUGGCGGCUCGGGUCGAUGUAGGAGGACGAGGGGAGGAGCUCGUGAGGCCCGACACCGGUAAUGGAGCGGAGGCGGCUGGAUCUGGCGAUUCUGGAGGGGCUGGCGACGAGCGGCUCCAUGGGCGGCGACCUGCGGGGUUCAAGCGGCGGCUGAAGGUAUGAGCGAUCUGGUUUCCUCUUUUGUUGUUCUAUACGAGGAUGAUCCAGAUGCCUUUUAGUGUUUUGAGAUGCUA